UACAGAGGGUGCAAGCGUUAUUCGGAAUUACUGGGCGUAAAGAGCGCGUAGGCCGUUUGAUAAGUCUGAUGUGAAAGCCCUGGACUCAAUCCAGGAAGUGCAUCGGAUACUGUCAGACUAGAGUAUAGGAGAGGACAACGGAAUUCCUGGUGUAGAGGUGAAAUUCGUAGAUAUCAGGAGGAACAACAGUGGCGAAGGCGGUUGUCUGGACUAUUACUGACGCUGAGGCGCGAAAGUGUGGGGAGCAAAC
This 250-nucleotide ribosomal RNA is filed under the name uncultured bacterium. Its description in RNAcentral is "partial 16S ribosomal RNA". It matches the Rfam family "Bacterial small subunit ribosomal RNA", at positions 524 to 773 of the family's 1533-position model. The record is from RNAcentral.